UCGCCUGUUUAUCAAAAACAUCGCCUCUUGAAAUAACAAUAUAAGAGGUCCUGCCUGCCCAGUGACUGUUUGUUCAACGGCCGCGGUACUUUGACCGUGCGAAGGUAGCGCAAUCACUUGUCUUUUAAAUGGAGACCUGUAUGAAUGGCUAGACGAGGGCUUAACUGUCUCCUUUUUCCGGUCAAUGAAAUUGAUCUUCCCGUGCAGAAGCGGGAAUAGCAUCAUAAGACGAGAAGACCCUGUGGAGCUUUAGACACUAAAUCAGCCCUUGUCCAAGCCCCUCGUUAAGGGACUGAACGAUAGAGUGAGACCUGAUCUGAUGUCUUCGGUUGGGGCGACCUCGGGGAAAGAAAAACCCCCCGCGCGGAACGGAAGUACUACUUCUAAAACUGAGAGCCACCGCUCAAAGCACCAGAAAUUUUGACCAACUAUAUGAUCCAGCUUAACGCCGAUCAACGGACUAAGUUACCCCAGGGAUAACAGCGCAAUCCUCUUCUAGAGCCCAUAUCGACAAGAGGGUUUACGACCUCGAUGUUGGAUCAGGACAUCCUAAUGGUGCAGCCGCUAUUAAGGGUUCGUUUGUUCAACGAUUAAAGUCCUACGUGAUCUGA
RNAcentral lists this ribosomal RNA (611 nucleotides) under Pomacentrus imitator (imitator damselfish). RNAcentral describes it as "partial 16S ribosomal RNA". It matches the Rfam family "Bacterial large subunit ribosomal RNA", at positions 1796 to 2608 of the family's 2925-position model. The record is from RNAcentral. Lineage: Eukaryota; Metazoa; Chordata; Actinopteri; Pomacentridae.